Molecule: transfer RNA, 28 nt
Filed under: Urolophus gigas
Lineage: Eukaryota; Metazoa; Chordata; Chondrichthyes; Myliobatiformes; Urolophidae
Description: partial tRNA-Leu
Source: RNAcentral
GCUUUAGAAAGAUAAUAGCACAUCUAUU